RNAcentral lists this RNase P RNA (368 nucleotides) under Verrucomicrobiota bacterium. RNAcentral describes it as "Verrucomicrobia bacterium (freshwater metagenome) partial RNase P RNA component class A". It matches the Rfam family "Bacterial RNase P class A", at positions 1 to 262 of the family's 367-position model. Rfam says of the family: Ribonuclease P (RNase P) is a ubiquitous endoribonuclease, found in archaea, bacteria and eukarya as well as chloroplasts and mitochondria. Its best characterised activity is the generation of mature 5'-ends of tRNAs by cleaving the 5'-leader elements of precursor-tRNAs. Cellular RNase Ps are ribonucleoproteins. The record is from RNAcentral. Lineage: Bacteria; Pseudomonadati; Verrucomicrobiota.
GAAGUUCGCUAGGCAGCCGCUGUGAUCGCUUAGGUCAUGGAGGAAAGUCCGGGCCCCGUAGAGCAGGAUGCCGGCUAACGGCCGGGCGCUAUAAGGCCGCAAGGUUGAAGGCGACGGAAAGUGCAACAGAAAGAUACCGCCAGUCCGACUUUGACGCCGCAAGGCGGCAAAGUCCCUUCCUGAAGAGGCGGGGACCCUUUCACGAGGGAAAGUCUGGUAAGGGUGAAAUGGUGGCGUGUCGCAAGACACGUCAGCACCGCGAAAGCGGUGCUGAGGUAAGAGCCCACCGCGUUGCUGGUAACAGUAACGGCAUGGCAAACCCCAUCCGGGGCAAGGCCAAAUAGGGGAGUAAUGACGUGGCUCGCGUC